UACUCUCCCUCGAAAUGUGACGACUUCCAUCCUAUAGACAGAAGUGUCGGGAGAGCUUGUUGAUACUCUCCCUUGAUAUGUGACGACUUCCAUCCCAUAGACAGAAGUGUCGGGAGAGCUUGCGAUACUCCCCCUCGAAAUGUGACGACUUCCAUCCCAUGGACAGAAGUGUCGGGAGAGCUUGUGAUACUCUCCCUUGAAAUGUGACGACUUCCAUCCUAUAGACAGAAGUGUCGGGAGAGCUUGUGAUACUCCCCCUC
RNAcentral lists this long non-coding RNA (260 nucleotides) under Zostera marina. RNAcentral describes it as "long non-coding RNA (ZMAR_LNC000702)". Lineage: Eukaryota; Viridiplantae; Streptophyta; Magnoliopsida; Alismatales; Zosteraceae. The record is from RNAcentral.